RNAcentral lists this long non-coding RNA (444 nucleotides) under Bos taurus (domestic cattle). Its description in RNAcentral is "long non-coding RNA NONBTAT025854". The record is from RNAcentral. Lineage: Eukaryota; Metazoa; Chordata; Mammalia; Artiodactyla; Bovidae.
UUUCUUCUCCCUAGGCAUAAUGUUAGCCAUUGAUAUUGUUGUAUUAUCAUAAUUAUUUAGUCGAAAAGCAUCAUGACUACUUGUAAAUCUACAAUUAUCUCAAUAAAAAAACGUCAAUGAAAAAAAGCAUCACAAACCAAGAGACAAAGGAUAGGUUAACCAAUGAAUAACACAGGGAAAAUGGAAGUGAGAAUAAGCCAGUUUUGGAAACAGGAUGUGAGAAGCAUGGUUUUAUUACCAUCUGUUUCAUUUAAGAAACCAAUAAGACUGGAAGGAUAGGGUUAAAUUAUUCAAAGUUUUGAAAGCUGCAGAAAGGACUUGAGAAGUCAUCACAGAAGGCAGGACUCACCAAGCUUCUUGAGCCAGGAAUUAAAUAACAUGAUGUGAAAUGCUGCUUCUAAGUUGUGUGUUAAACUUAGAAAGAUCUUCUCUUUGAAGCUGUUA